RNAcentral lists this long non-coding RNA (1866 nucleotides) under Coffea arabica (coffee). RNAcentral describes it as "long non-coding RNA (CARA_LNC000667)". The record is from RNAcentral. Lineage: Eukaryota; Viridiplantae; Streptophyta; Magnoliopsida; Gentianales; Rubiaceae.
UUCAUUUUAAGCUCGUAAUGCCAAUCUAUCUAUCUACUUUCUCAUUUCAACCAGCAAUUGCUGCCAUUCCUCCACUUUCCAAUUGCUCUCUAAAAUUCAUCACUCGUCUGAACUCAAACAAGGUAUCAGGCAUUCAGGUUUAUCUUUCUGUCUCGCUCUCUCUGACGCGCACAUACAGGUAUUUGCCCAUGUGAAAUACUGUCUUACCUUUUGAGUCCUCCAAAGAGAUGAGUUUGAACACGUCUAGAACCAUUAUAAACCCUAUAAUCCUAAAUUUGUAUACUAUUGUAUAGAAAAGUAUGAGCAUGUCAAAAAAUUCAUUGGAUCUAUUAGCAUGCCAAAGAUUUAAGAUAUAAAAUAUCAAUAUACUUAUGUGAAUAGGUGGUAUAUGCAUGAACCAAAUUAAAUUGGGUUUUUUUUUUGUCUAUUUAAGGUCAUAGUUAUAUUGUAGAAAUCACAAGGAAUGUUUUGGUAUAAAUUUUAUGAAUUUUGGUGAAGAUUUUAGUGAUGUUUAAAAAUAAAACCGUGGCUACAUUUUACCAUUUUGACCCCUUUUCGUGCAUUUUUGUGAAAAACCAAGCCCGAAAAAGGACUCUAUGCAAAAAAUCGAGUGGGGAAGUGUAUUUUGAUGAGUUUUUAUGACCGAAGAGAUCGCCGGCGAUCGGUGACGGCGGCAACGGUGUUUGCCAUGGACGUCGGCAACCUGAACUUCAGUCCACCUGAGAAGAAGAAGAAGAAGAAGAAGAAGAGGGAAGAAGGAAAAGAGAGAGAGAGAGAGAAAGAAAAAGGAAAAAAAAAGAAAAAAAACAUUGGGCUGGAUUUUUUUUUAUUAAAUUUUUGGUGGGAUUGCAUUUUUUUUCUCUUUGGGCUUGUGGUUCGCCUUUUGGAACCAAAAAUUUCCAUUCUAUUUAAGUUUUCAUUAUUCUUUGGGCUUGCUUGGUUUUUUUCAUGAAUUUGCCUGCAUUUUUGUUUUGGUCUUGAAUAGUCCGCCCCAAGUCCUAAGAUGAUGGCCCAAUUUUGUUUCUAGAUUCUGGCCCAAAAUUAUACUGUUUAUAUUCAGUCUAAAAUGGAAACUAGAUUUUGCAAUUAGUCUCCCAAUCUUUUGAGUAAUUUUACUAUGGCCUAAAGAAUUUUAAUUGCUUUCAUUUAGGCCUAUAAUUUAAUUACAUUUUGGUCCACAAACUUUAUCUUCAUUUAAUUUUGACCCAUAAUGUUUUAAAAAAUUAUUAUUUGACCCUAAAAACUUUCUAAUUUUUACAAUUUAGUCCCUAAUAGUUUUUGAUUUUUCAAUUAUAAUUAUUUCCUUCCUUUAGUUGUUAAUUGUGCUUCUCUUGCAUGCAUUUAAAUUGUAAAUUUUGAGUGUUUUGAGUUUGUUUACAUUUUUUAAUAUAAUAAUGUGAAUCUAGUACUUAUUAUCUUUAAUUUUAAGUGAAUUGGUACCAUAAUCCUUUUGUUAAUUUUGAGUAUAGAUAGGGUGACUUUACCUCAUUUAGUCACCAUUUCAAAAGGGAGGUACCCUUAUUGCCCUUAAUUUUGAUUAUAUGUUCUUAUCUGCUCCUACAUACUCCUAUAUGUUGAUAUGUUUUUACAUGAUUUUUGUUAUUUAUUUAAUUCAAAUGCUUAUUCAAUUUUUUUAAUGUUUGUUUAGUUAAUUUUGUAAUUAUUUGGGAGGUGCUUAAAUACCUCAAGAUGUAAUAGAUAGGUAAUAAUUUUAUUUAUUUUUACAAAAAUUAUAAUUAGAUAGACAAAUGUAAUAGAUAGGAUAGAUUGAUUUAUUUUAUUAUAUUUUCUCCCAUUUUACAUUGUAGUUUGGUCUCAGCUGUAAUAGAUAGGUUUUGUGUGUUUAUGUGACUUAUGUGUUUAUAU